GUCUUAUUGAAUAAUAAUAAUAAGUCGAUUUCUGCCCAUUGAAUAUAAUUUUUAAAAGGCUGCGGUAUAUUAACUGUACAAAGGUAGCAAAAUAAAUAGUUUUUUAAUUGAAAACUUGAAUGAAAGAGUUGAUAAAAUAUAAAUUGUUUCAAAUUAAUUAUAUUUAAUUUAAAUUAAAAGUUAAAAUGCUUUUAUAUUUUUAUUAGACGAUAAGACCCUAAGAAUUUGAUUUUUUAGUUUUUAUUAUAAUUUUUAUUAUAAAUUUAAUAUGAAUUAAAUUAUUUUAUUGGGAGGAUAAUAAAAUUUUUAUAAACUUUUAUUUAUUUUGAAUAUUAAUAAAUAAAAUUUUUAAUGAUUAUUAUUAAGAUUAUUAGAAUAAAUUACCUUAGGGAUAACAGCGUUAUAAUUUUGGAGAGUUCUUAUUGAUAAAAUUGUUUGCGACCUCGAUGUUGAAUUAAAAUAAAAUUUAAAUGAAGAAAUUUAAAAUUUUAGUCUGUUCGACUAUUAAAAUUUUACA
Molecule: ribosomal RNA, 517 nt
Filed under: Polybia occidentalis occidentalis
Lineage: Eukaryota; Metazoa; Arthropoda; Insecta; Hymenoptera; Vespidae
Description: partial 16S ribosomal RNA
Source: RNAcentral